RNAcentral lists this ribosomal RNA (262 nucleotides) under uncultured bacterium. Its description in RNAcentral is "partial 16S ribosomal RNA". It matches the Rfam family "Bacterial small subunit ribosomal RNA", at positions 91 to 353 of the family's 1533-position model. The record is from RNAcentral.
ACGAGUGGCGGACGGGUGAGUAAUGUCUGGGAAACUGCCUGAUGGAGGGGGAGUAACUACUGGAAACGGUAGCUAAUACCGCAUAACGUCGCAAGACCAAAGAGGGGGACCUUCGGGCCUCUUGCCAUCGGAUGUGCCCAGAUGGGAUUAGCUAGUAGGUGGGGUAACGGCUCACCUAGGCGACGAUCCCUAGCUGGUCUGAGAGGAUGACCAGCCACACUGGAACUGGGACACGGUCCAGACUCCUACGGGAGGCAGCAUG